AGCAGCCGCGGUAAAUUCCAGCUCCAAUAGCGUAUAUUAAAGUUGUUGCAGUUAAAAAGCUCGUAGUUGAACUUCGGGGUCUACCCAUUGGUCAGGCUUAAUUGUCUGCACUGGUAGGAUGGAUCUCUACCUUCUGAGGAACUUUCAUGCCAUUUAUUUGGUGUGAUGGGAAACCAGGACUGUUACUUUGAAAAUAUUAGAGUGUUUAAAGCAGACUAUCGUCUGAAUACAUUAGCAUGGAAUAAUGGAAUAGGACGGACUGAUUCUAUUUCGUUGGUUUCUAGGAUCACCGUAAUGAUUAAUAGGGAUAGUUGGGGGCAUUAGUAUUCAAUUGUCAGAGGUGAAAUUCUUGGAUUUAUUGAAGACUAACUACUGCGAAACCAUUUGCCAUGGAUGUUUU
This 400-nucleotide ribosomal RNA is filed under the name uncultured Glomeromycotina. Its description in RNAcentral is "SSU rRNA". It matches the Rfam family "Eukaryotic small subunit ribosomal RNA", at positions 569 to 970 of the family's 1831-position model. Lineage: Eukaryota; Fungi; Glomeromycota. The record is from RNAcentral.